CUGUGGAUAGGGGUGAAAGGCCAAUCAAACUUCGUGAUAGCUGGUUCUCCCCGAAAUGCAUUUAGGUGCAGCGUCGUCUGUUUCUUACCGGAGGUAGAGCACUGGAUGGUCUAGGGGGCCCACAAGCUUACCGAAAUCAGCCAAACUCCGAAUGCCGGUAAGUGAGAGGACGGCAGUGAGACUGUGGGGGAUAAGCUUCAUAGUCGAGAGGGAAACAGCCCAGAUCAUCAGCUAAGGCCCCUAAGGGACUGCUAAGUGGAAAAGGAUGUGGAGUUGCUUAGACAACCAGGAGGUUGGCUUGGAAGCAGCCACCCUUGAAAGAGUGCGUAAUAGCUCACUGGUCAAGUGAUUCUGCGCCGACAAUGUAGCGGGGCUCAAGCAGUCCGCCGAAGCUGUGGCACUCACACGUGUGCUUGGCCCCUUUUGUGGGGUUUAGGUGUGUGGGUGGGUAGGGGAGCGUCGUGUGUGCGGUGAAGCGGCGGGGUGACCCAGUCGUGGAGUGCACACGAGUGAGAAUGCAGGCAUGAGUAGCGAAUGACGGGUGAGAAACCCGUCCGCCGAAUAUCCAAGGGUUCCAGGGUCAAGCUAAUCUGCCCUGGGUAAGUCGGGACCUAAGGCGAGGCCGACAGGCGUAGUCGAUGGACAACCAGUUGAUAUUCUGGUACCGGCGAAACAACGUCCGUGCUGAGGCGGGUGAUACUAAGCAUGCGAGCUCAUUGUGGCCCUUUGGGGUUGUGGUGGGUGAGUCUGUGACCUGAUCUUGUAGUAGGCAAGCUGCGGAGGGACGCAGGAAGGUAGCCCAUCCCGGGCGGUGGUUGUCCCGGGCUAAGAUGGUAGGCCGGCACGUAGGCAAAUCCGCGUGUUGUGUGGCUGAGAGUUGAUGGCACUGCGAAACAUGUUUUGUGGUGUGGGUGAUCCUAUGCUGCCUAGAAAAGCUUCGUGAGCGAGUUGUGAGCCGCCCGUACCCUAAACCGACACAGGUGGAUAGGUAGAGAAUACCAAGGCGAUCGAGAGAAUCGUGGUGAAGGAACUCGGCAAAAUACCCCCGUAACUUCGGGAUAAGGGGGACCUGACACGUCAACACAUUUUCUGUGGGUAGCGUGGAGGGUCGCAGAGACCAGGCCCAAGCGACUGUUUACUAAAAACACAGGUCCGUGCGAAGUUGUAAGACGAUGUAUACGGACUGACUCCUGCCCGGUGCUGGAAGGUUAAGGGGAACUGUUAGCGCAAGCGAAGCGGUGAACUUAAGCCCCAGUAAACGGCGGUGGUAACUAUAACCAUCCUAAGGUAGCGAAAUUCCUUGUCGGGUAAGUUCCGACCUGCACGAAUGGAGUAACGAUUUGGGCGCUGUCUCCACCACGAACUCGGCGAAAUUGCAGUACGAGUAAAGAUGCUCGUUACGCGCAGCAGGACGGAAAGACCCCGGGACCUUUACUAUAGUUUGGUAUUGGUGAUCGGUACAGCUUGUGUAGGAUAGGUGGGAGACUGUGAAGUCCGGACGCUAGUUCGGGUGGAGUCAUCGUUGAAAUACCACUCUGGCUGUUCUGGUUAUCUAACCUCGGACCAUGAUCUGGUUCAGGGACAGUGCCUGAUGGGUAGUUUGACUGGGGCGGUCGCCUCCUAAAAGGUAACGGAGGCGCCCAAAGGUUCCCUCAGCCUGGUUGGCAAUCAGGUGUUGAGUGUAAGUGCACAAGGGAGCUUGACUGUGAGACUGACAAGUCGAGCAGGGACGAAAGUCGGGACUAGUGAUCUGGCGGUGGCUUGUGGAAGCGCCGUCGCUCAACGGAUAAAAGGUACCCCGGGGAUAACAGGCUGAUCUUGCCCAAGAGUCCAUAUCGACGGCAUGGUUUGGCACCUCGAUGUCGGCUCGUCGCAUCCUGGGGCUGGAGUCGGUCCCAAGGGUUGGGCUGUUCGCCCAUUAAAGCGGCACGCGAGCUGGGUUUAGAACGUCGUGAGACAGUUCGGUCCCUAUCCGCUGCGCGCGUAAGAGUCUUGAGAAGGGCUGUCCUUAGUACGAGAGGACCGGGACGGACUAACCUCUGGUGUGCCAGUUGUACUGCCAAGUGCACGGCUGGUUGGCUACGUUGGGAAGUGAUAACCGCUGAAAGCAUCUAAGCGGGAAGCACGCUUCAAGAUGAGGACUCUCACACCUUGU
RNAcentral lists this ribosomal RNA (2155 nucleotides) under activated sludge metagenome. RNAcentral's name for it is "bacterial LSU rRNA". It matches the Rfam family "Bacterial large subunit ribosomal RNA", at positions 809 to 2824 of the family's 2925-position model. The record is from RNAcentral.